UGCAAGCAUUUAUUUUUUAAUCAAUAUGAUAAAUUUGUGAAACAUAAAGAAGUGAUAAAGUGAUUUAAAGAUGUGUUUAAAUUUCAAAAGUGUAAUCAUUCGUAAUAUAUAUUAUAUGUUCUAUUUUCAUAUAUGAAAAUUAUUUUAUGUAAAUUUAUUCUACGUAUUUUACGUCGCAAUAAGAACAACUAUUAUCUUGUCAAGGAUAAACGUAUAAAGUGCAUUUCAGUGGUCGGUAUAGAAGUUUUCUGUUAAAGCAACGACCGUUGGGACAGAAUCGAUUUCACCCUUUCUCUGAAGAUGGCAACAACUCCCACAAUCCUAUGAAUAUUAAAACUGUGACCAACUUCAAUCGAUUAACGAGCAAACUUCGUCUAAUUGUUGGAACGCUAAUUAAAAUCAAGAAGUUGGAACUAAAUUAGGAAAGAUGGAACCGUGUGUCCCUAGCGUGUGUCGCCAACCACUAUAAACUUCAGAAGGCUGCAAUUACUUCACUUUGCACUUUUUCAACCAACAUCGUUUAAAGUGAAACCAUGCUGUGUAUUCUGUCUUUUAAGGAUUGGAAGACCGUUAUUGAGAAGAAAAGAAGAAAAUUGUGAAUUGGAGGAGCUCCAGUGGCCUGCAACUGAGUUAUAGCAACAGCACCGAACUUCCUGUUUCCUGAGUUGCUUCGAGCUGCCCGCCUUAUCAUCGCUUCCACUGUUCUUCCGUCACUGUGACCACGGUUCCUUCGUCGAGGUCAAACUCACAAGUUCGCCGCCGCCCCUCUCCAAGAUUCACCAGCUCGAUUCUCGAUUGCUUCGAAGUGUCAUUCCGACUGCUUCCAGAGCCGGCUGCUUCCAGAUCUUCGACAAAGCGCGAUAAUCCAAACUUUCGUUGGGCGAGGACAUUGGGCCGAGCACACUCGGAGGACACUGGAGGACGUGAAGGAAAGAUGAAACUGGCGCGAGAGAGAGAUGAGAAGCGAGACGACACGCAGGAAUCGAAUAUCUAUUAUUCUGAAGGCUCGACGAUGAAACGUCGUCGAAGAGGAUGGAUCCCGAGAUGGUGCUCCGAAGUUAUCCUCGUUCUUUUCUUUCCAUCGUUACCCGAUGUUCUCUCCCCGAGAAUGAAACUGCGGAGCGGAUCUUUUCGAUCGUUCGAUUCAUUUUCGGUGAACUUUGGUGAGCAAACGAUUCGAUUCUUCUUGUAUCCCGCCGGAUGGAACGGAUGAUCGAUGGAGGAAUGAUGAUGAGAAGAGGGACGAUAAAGUCAGAGCAACGGAUGACGGGAGUAAUUUUAGAAAUAGACGAAAUUUGUGUUGGAACGUCAGAAUUGAAAAAUUGUGUUUGCAAGAGUGAUUCCCUUGAAAAUUUAUGAAAUAAGUUUUAGUGAUAUGAUUUAAUGAGAUUUUUUUUUUUUACGUAUUGAUAAAGGAGGAUAAAAGGUAAUUUUAUGAUUAUGUGGAAAUCGUGAACAAUAUUAUUUUAAACGUUUUAAAAAUAAAUUAAUGGUAAGGUUUUUAAUUUUUAUAUUCCUUAAAAUAGAGAAUAAUUUUGACAUUUGAGCAAAUUGUGAAUCGUAUUGCGAAAUGUGAAGAUAUAUUAGAGGAUCUUUCGUUUAUCAGGGCAAAGAAGGAUUAUUGUAUGCGAAAAGGGAGAAAAUUGAAUGUGUGUUAGGUUGAUAGGUAACGUGACAUUAAAAAGAGAUAAAACCAACCCCUUUGAUUUCCCUGGAAAUUUCCAUUCUUCUCGAAUAUAAUAUAUAGAGACUGAAAGUAGGUGUCAUUUGUCUGCUCAAAGAUGUGACAACUUUUUUCGAGCUGGAGCUCUUUUUUUUUUUUUACACAAAUUCGAAUAAUAUUUUCAUCGCGAAUACGAAUUUAUAAAAUAUUUAAUUGCUGCAAGUUGUCGAAAAUUUUUUCGAGUAUUUGUUCAAAAAAAAAAUUGUUUAUCCUAAAAAAUUUUAACAAUCAGUAAACGCGAAUAAAAUAAUACCGUAUUUAUAUUUCAAUGGCAUUUUCGCAAGAUAAUAGCGUUCAAUCACUUUUCAGAUUACAUUUUAAAAAUUCAACGAAAGACAAUACGAAUAUAAAACGAUAAAAAAACGAUUCUUGCUUUUUCACGAAUAAUAAAGAAAAUUUAUCCACGAUACAUGAUAAAACUUCAAGAUCAACAUCAAAAUUUAAAAAAAAAAUUAUCGAUAACACGAUUUAUCGACAAUUUAUAAAUAUCAAAAAUAUUAUCAAAAUAUGUAAAUCAAUGCGACAAUGUUUAAAAAGCCAAGGAAUAUCCAAUUUCUUAAAAAGCCACGUAAUAAAAUAUUUCUCGUUGCCCUCUCGUUGCAGGGAGAGGGUUCGAUCGAUCGAUCGAAUUUAUUCAAGGAAGAAUCGAGUGUUAAAAUAGCGGAAGGACGGGUGGCCUUAGCGCUUUACGUUCUAACAAAUAAUAGAUCGCGUUGAGAUGAUCGAGGGAGGCUAUUUAUCUUCGGUAAAUCACGGCCAAGGGAGGAAAGAAUAAUGACAAAACGCUUACCUUCCCGGAACCCCUCGAGUUGCAUAAGAGAACACCGGCAGCGUGGAUUCUAUAUUCCUUGUCGAGUUGUUCGUGCUGUCCUUGAAUUUUCCUGCCGGCAAAAUCAACGGAAAAUUUUACGUAAAAUAGAUCUGCGGCACAUUAAUGUAGUGGAAAAUGUAUAUUUUAUGAUUUGAGAGAACGAAAUAACAAAAUAUAAAGCGUUGUUAAUAAUAGAAA
Long non-coding RNA from Apis laboriosa (Himalayan honeybee), 2732 nucleotides. RefSeq lists it as uncharacterized. The record is from RefSeq and is a predicted model, not a curated record. The transcript has 5 exons. NCBI's taxonomy places the organism in Eukaryota, Metazoa, Arthropoda, Insecta, Hymenoptera, Apidae.